This 261-nucleotide long non-coding RNA is filed under the name Ictidomys tridecemlineatus (thirteen-lined ground squirrel). RNAcentral describes it as "lncRNA (ENSSTOG00000034470.1)". Lineage: Eukaryota; Metazoa; Chordata; Mammalia; Rodentia; Sciuridae. The record is from RNAcentral.
CUUGUGUCUAAUAAAGCUGAAUCAUUCGAUGGGAGGAACCCCACAGAAUCUCCUCAGUUUCUUCAUGUUAAUGUGCCCUGUUGUUCUGUAGAUCCUGGGUGAGCAGAUGUCCAGCAUCUCUUUCGUGCAGAGAAGAAUUAUAUGCUUGAAUUGUUGCUGAAUUCAUUCUCCAUGUGAAGAAGAAGGUUCCUAAACAGAUUGUGAAUACGUCUGUAUCCCUCCAUAUGGAAGGUACCAUCUCAGUCCUUUUCUCCCUGCUAC